UACGGAAGGUCCGGGCGUUAUCCGGAUUUAUUGGGUUUAAAGGGAGCGCAGGCUGUUUUUUAAGCGUGACGUGAAAUGUACGGGCUCAACCGGUGCAGUGCGUCGCGAACUGGGAGACUUGAGUACGCACGAGGCCGGCGGAAUUCGUGGUGUAGCGGUGAAAUGCUUAGAUAUCACGAAGAACUCCGAUUGCGAAGGCAGCCGGCCAGGGCGCAACUGACGCUAAAGCUCGAAAGUGCGGGUAUCGAAC
RNAcentral lists this ribosomal RNA (250 nucleotides) under uncultured prokaryote. RNAcentral's name for it is "partial 16S ribosomal RNA". It matches the Rfam family "Bacterial small subunit ribosomal RNA", at positions 524 to 773 of the family's 1533-position model. The record is from RNAcentral.